RNAcentral lists this ribosomal RNA (348 nucleotides) under Triticum aestivum (bread wheat). RNAcentral describes it as "partial small subunit ribosomal RNA". The record is from RNAcentral. Lineage: Eukaryota; Viridiplantae; Streptophyta; Magnoliopsida; Poales; Poaceae.
AUGGCUGUGCCCUCCACCCAGAUCCGUCCGCCAUUGGCCCUGUAUUGUCCCUCCCGAUGGGAUCCAGCCUCCACCACUGCGCACGGUGCGACGGGAUCCACCACGGACGAGGAAAAGGCCGCGCGCGGGCGUCGUGAUGUGGUCGUCACGUGGCGCGGCACGAUCCAGGCUCUGGAUUGGGUCGACGAUCUUGAGUUCGCCAUAGUGCCGCCCAGAGUCCCCCUUUGUGAGGCCGCCUGCGCAGACGCUUGGUGCACCGCGGGUGGAUCUCCAUCUCCACCAACAACAGGGACAACGCCAGAGACCAGGCACGGGAUGUGCUGGACAUUGUUCAGUGUCAGGAGGUGA